RNAcentral lists this ribosomal RNA (305 nucleotides) under uncultured bacterium. RNAcentral's name for it is "bacterial SSU rRNA". It matches the Rfam family "Bacterial small subunit ribosomal RNA", at positions 333 to 637 of the family's 1533-position model. The record is from RNAcentral.
AUGUGCCUAGGGAGGCAGCAGUGGGGAAUAUUGGUCAAUGGGCGCGAGCCUGAACCAGCCAAGUCGCGUGAGGGAAGACGGUCCUAUGGAUUGUAAACCUCUUUUGUCGGGGAGGAAAAGACGCCACGUGUGGCGUUCCGAGAGUACCCGAAGAAAAAGCAUCGGCUAACUCCGUGCCAGCAGCCGCGGUAAUACGGAGGAUGCGAGCGUUAUCCGGAUUUAUUGGGUUUAAAGGGUGCGCAGGCGGAAGAUCAAGUCAGCGGUAAAAUUGAGAGGCUCAACCUCUUCGAGCCGUUGAAACUGGU